UUGUGCAGGGGAAUCCAUGCCUCAUGGCGCUCUCCAGCCUGCUGUGGGUGUUCCUGGCCUUCACCUUCUCUGGAUCUGGUGUGGCCCAGAAAGUUACUCAAGACCAGCCAGAUGUAUCCAGCCAAGUGGGGCAGUCAGUCACCCUGAAUUGUCGGUAUGAAACAAGUUGGACCACUUACUACCUUUAUUGGUACAAGCAACCUCCCAGUGGACAGAUGACUUACGUUAUUCAUCAGGAUUCAUUAGUCUCAAAUGCAAGGAAAGACUGUUACCCUGUAAACUUUAAGAAAGCAGACAAAUCCAUCAGCCUCACCAUUUCAGCCUUACAACUGGAAGACUCUGCAAAGUACUUCUGUGCUCUUUCUGAACUCGCAGUGCUUGAAGUAAUAGGAAAAGCUGUACAAAAACCCCAGAGCUUAUAUCCUGGAGAAGGCCCACAGCUCCUCCUGAAAGCCACGAAGGCCAAGGAGAAGGGAAGCCACAAAGGUUUUGAAGCCACAUACAAUACAGAAACCACCUCCUUCCACUUGGAGAAAGCCUCAGUCCAAGAGUCAGACUCGGCUGUGUACUACUGUGCUCUGAGGGACACAGUGACGGAAACUGCAGGGGGAGCUGAGCACAAACUCUGA
Molecule: non-coding RNA, 629 nt
Organism: Cervus elaphus (red deer)
Lineage: Eukaryota; Metazoa; Chordata; Mammalia; Artiodactyla; Cervidae
Source: the annotation of a RefSeq genome assembly